This is a long non-coding RNA of Musa acuminata AAA Group (dessert banana), 321 nucleotides long. RefSeq lists it as uncharacterized. Lineage: Eukaryota; Viridiplantae; Streptophyta; Magnoliopsida; Zingiberales; Musaceae. The transcript is spliced from 2 exons. The record is from RefSeq and is a predicted model, not a curated record.
GGAGGCCUCUGGCUCUCGGUCUCCUCGGCCACAACAGCAACAGCAAGCACGACCGCCACCGAGCGGCACGCUGACCUUCGACGAGAUCUCCAAGCUCUUCUCGCUUCCCAUCGCCGAGGCCGCCCCCGUCCUCGGAUCUGGCGGGUGGCUUUGUUUGUUUGGAUUUCUGUGAGUGCUCUUGAGGAACUCGGUUGUGGUGCACUUUACCUUCAUUAGAAUGAGGGUGGUUCUCAUUCUCUUUCAAGCAUACUGUUACUAUUGUGGCUCAACAUAAAACUAUGAAAUUAGCACAAAGAAAAAAUAAAUUUCACCUUGGGAACA